RNAcentral lists this ribosomal RNA (816 nucleotides) under Brevundimonas sp. G03 83-3. RNAcentral's name for it is "bacterial SSU rRNA". It matches the Rfam family "Bacterial small subunit ribosomal RNA", at positions 67 to 930 of the family's 1533-position model. The record is from RNAcentral. Lineage: Bacteria; Pseudomonadati; Pseudomonadota; Alphaproteobacteria; Caulobacterales; Caulobacteraceae.
CGGAUCCUUCGGGGUUAGUGGCGGACGGGUGAGUAACACGUGGGAACGUGCCUUUUGGUUCGGAAUAGCUCCUGGAAACGGGUGGUAAUGCCGAAUGUGCCCUUCGGGGGAAAGAUUUAUCGCCAUUAGAGCGGCCCGCGUCUGAUUAGCUAGUUGGUGAGGUAAAGGCUCACCAAGGCGACGAUCAGUAGCUGGUCUGAGAGGAUGACCAGCCACAUUGGGACUGAGACACGGCCCAAACUCCUACGGGAGGCAGCAGUGGGGAAUCUUGCGCAAUGGGCGAAAGCCUGACGCAGCCAUGCCGCGUGAAUGAUGAAGGUCUUAGGAUUGUAAAAUUCUUUCACCGGGGACGAUAAUGACGGUACCCGGAGAAGAAGCCCCGGCUAACUUCGUGCCAGCAGCCGCGGUAAUACGAAGGGGGCUAGCGUUGCUCGGAAUUACUGGGCGUAAAGGGAGCGUAGGCGGACAUUUAAGUCAGGGGUGAAAUCCCAGAGCUCAACUCUGGAACUGCCUUUGAUACUGGGUGUCUUGAGUGUGAUAGAGGUAUGUGGAACUCCGAGUGUAGAGGUGAAAUUCGUAGAUAUUCGGAAGAACACCAGUGGCGAAGGCGACAUACUGGAUCAUUACUGACGCUGAGGCUCGAAAGCGUGGGGAGCAAACAGGAUUAGAUACCCUGGUAGUCCACGCCGUAAACGAUGAUUGCUAGUUGUUGGGAUGUUUACAUCUCGGUGACGCAGCUAACGCAUUAAGCAAUCCGCCUGGNGAGUACGGUCGCAAGAUUAAAACUCAAAGGAAUUGACGGAGGCCCGCACAAGC